Caenorhabditis elegans is the source of this 428-nucleotide non-coding RNA. The record is from Ensembl. NCBI's taxonomy places the organism in Eukaryota, Metazoa, Nematoda, Chromadorea, Rhabditida, Rhabditidae.
ACAGAAUUUCAACAUUAGGCGGAAUUGAAGUGAAACGGAGCGCAAAGCUAGGAAGAACAUUAGCUCAUCGAACCGAAUGUAUAUUGCGCGUGUUUCUUCUCAGUCUUUUUCGGUGUAAAUUUACUAGCGACACUCGCUCUCCCUUCACCAUACACAUAUUCCUGGCUCUUCUGUUAACAUUAAAUGAUGGCACCAAUGUUAAGGUAUGUUUCAAAAGCACUUGGCAUCCCCAUCAGUCUUCAGAAGCCCUGACUAGCCACUGACCAUCGUGCGAGAGGCGGGGCAUUGGACUACGGUGCGCAUGACGUAUGAACCAAUAGUAGAAGGCGUGCGAUUGAAUGACACACACAUACACCGAUUGCAAAGCACUUUCUAUGGUUAAACUACCUUUUGAUCCGGGCUUCUUCGUAAUAUUAAUUUAAUAAACU